AAAAAUACGGUUAUUGGAUAUAUUAUAUAACCAAAUACCGGUGGAAAUAUAUUAGGUAAUAAAUAAAAUUAAAAGGUUUUAUAUAUUGUUAAAACGAAUUUACGAAAUUAUUCGUGCUAAAUGCGGUACAGAAUAUUUGCAUAAAAUUAUUUUGCAAACAACGGUAAAAACGGUUAACGAUAUUGUAAAACCGAACGGUUUAAUACUUAUAUUAUUAAUAUUUGGAAUAACAUUUAAAAUUAUAAUGGAUUUAUUUCCCAUACCCAACCAAAUAAAAUAAACGGCGGUAAUUAAUAAAAUUAUAACGAAAUUACGGAAAUUUACCGCCAAAAAAAAAUUAAACAACGCGUUAACCGCAAAAAACGGCCCAAAAUUAUCGGACCGAUUUUUAUAUACGUUGGAAUUAGGUGCAAAAAUACUAGCAUACCGAAAAAAAAAUAAUUGGAAUAAUUUAUAUAAAAUUAUUUUAAUAACGGAAAAUAAUAUAAAAGUUAUUUUUCCCAACGGGAAUUCGGAUUUUAAAAAUAUCCACGUAAAAUUAUAUUACAAAUAUUAAAAUUAAAAAAAGGAAAUAUAAAAAAAAACGAUUUCGUUUAUUUUAAAAAAAAACCAUCCACGGUUUAGGGAAAAACCAAAAAUGGUAUAAAAAACGCCCAAAAAAUUAUUAAUAAUAAUAGUAAUUAAUCCAACGCAAAAACCGUUUUUUAAUUUAAAAAUAAUCGCUUUUAAAACGGAUAUUACGCCAAACGAUUGGACGAUCGAAAUGGUAAUUAAACCCGAAAAAUACCGACGCAAUGGACGAAAUAAAAAACCCAAAAUGCAAUUCGAUACGUUAUUAUUGGAUAAAAAAAACCAUAUUUACAAUUUGGUUAUUAAAUAUAGGGUAAAAAACAAAAUUACGGUAUUAGGGGUUUUAUUUAAAUAAUUAAACGCCGCCGAAAUCGAAAUAUUAUUAAAU
Molecule: small RNA, 958 nt
Filed under: Pyricularia oryzae
Lineage: Eukaryota; Fungi; Ascomycota; Sordariomycetes; Magnaporthales; Pyriculariaceae
Description: Magnaporthe oryzae sRNA M_BR32_EuGene_00105421
Source: RNAcentral